This 460-nucleotide ribosomal RNA is filed under the name uncultured bacterium. RNAcentral describes it as "bacterial SSU rRNA". It matches the Rfam family "Bacterial small subunit ribosomal RNA", at positions 29 to 524 of the family's 1533-position model. The record is from RNAcentral.
AACGAACGCUGGCGGCAUGCCUAACACAUGCAAGUCGAACGGGAUCCGGACUUCGGUCCGGUGAGAGUGGCGGACGGGUGAGUAACGCGUGGGAACCUGCCUUUUGGUUCGGGAUAACCGCGGGAAACUGCGGCUAAUACCGGAUGCUCCCGAGAGGGAAAGAUUUAUCGCCAGAAGAGGGGCCCGCGUCCGAUUAGGUAGUUGGUGGGGUAAUGGCCUACCAAGCCGACGAUCGGUAGCUGGUCUGAGAGGAUGAUCAGCCACACUGGGACUGAGAUACGGCCCAGACUCCUACGGGAGGCAGCAGUGGGGAAUAUUGGACAAUGGGGGCGAACCCUGAUCCAGCAAUGCCGCGUGAGUGAUGAAGGCCUUAGGGUUGUAAAGCUCUUUUGCCAGGGAAGAUGAUGACUGUACCUGGAGAAUAAGCCCCGGCUAACUUCGUGCCAGCAGCCGCGGUAAU